Molecule: ribosomal RNA, 137 nt
Filed under: uncultured eukaryote
Lineage: Eukaryota
Description: partial 18S ribosomal RNA
Rfam family: Eukaryotic small subunit ribosomal RNA
Source: RNAcentral
UGGUGGGGUGACUUGUCUGCUUAAUUGCGAUAACGAACGAGACCUUAACCUGCUAAAUAGCCCGCAUUGCUUCGGCAGUGCGCUGGCUUCUUAGAGGGACUUUCGGCUCAAGCCGAAGGAAGUUUGAGGCAAUAACA